AGUCCCGUGGGAUCCUGCGCCACAUCUCGCACAAGUACGCGAAGCAGGGGAACCCGGACCUGAUCGGCACGGGUGCGCUGGAGCGCGCGUCCAUCGAGCAGUGGCUGCAGACGGAGGCGCAGAGCUUCGACGCGCCCAGCGCCGAGAUGGUCUACAGCCUCGCCCUCCUGCCGCCCAACCUGCCCAAGCAGCAGAACGACAACGGCAGCGGCUUCAACAACAGCGGCAGGGAGAGGGACGUGGGGAACGCGUCCGCCGGCAGCAAGCAGCGCUCCCCGGCCGGGUGGCCGGCGGCGAACCAGAACCAGAACCAGCAGCAGGCGAAGCAUCAGAAGGAGGAGGAGAUGGUGAGGCUGUUCGAGCAGCGGAAGAAGGACCUGGAGAAGCUGCUGGACAUCUACGAGCAGCGGCUGGAGGAGGCCAGGUACCUCGCCGGCGACAACUUCACCAUCGCCGACCUGUCGCACCUGCCCAACGCCGACCGCCUCGCCUCCGACCCGCGCUCCCGCCGCCUCUUCGAGACCCGCAAGAACGUCAGCAGGUGGUGGAACGACGUCUCCAGCCGCGACACCUGGCAGUACGUCAAGAGCCUUCAACGCCCGCCGCCCACCGACGCCAACGCCAAUUCCAAGAACGGCCAGCACCAGCAGCAGCAGGGGCAGCACACGCAGUCCACCGACGAGCACAACAGGAAGAACUACCAGCAGCAGCAGCAGCAGGUCCAGCACGAGCGCUACUAGCCGUGCCGUCGUCCGGCAACAACAACAACUACCUGCCGCGAAUGCGACGUCCAUUGAUAUGUUUUCUGCCGUUAAUCGUGUCAUCGU
Molecule: long non-coding RNA, 827 nt
Filed under: Setaria viridis
Lineage: Eukaryota; Viridiplantae; Streptophyta; Magnoliopsida; Poales; Poaceae
Description: long non-coding RNA (SVIR_LNC011462)
Source: RNAcentral